This 71-nucleotide transfer RNA is filed under the name Zeugopterus punctatus (topknot). Its description in RNAcentral is "tRNA-Trp". It matches the Rfam family "tRNA". Rfam says of the family: Transfer RNA (tRNA) molecules are approximately 80 nucleotides in length. Lineage: Eukaryota; Metazoa; Chordata; Actinopteri; Pleuronectiformes; Scophthalmidae. The record is from RNAcentral.
AGAAGCUUAGGUUAACACCAAACCAAGGGCCUUCAAAGCCCUCAAUGAGGGUGAAAAUCCCCCAGCUUCUG